GGAGGGAUGCGAGAGUGGCCGAAUCGGGCGGUCUCGAAAACCGCUGUAUGUAUUUUGCAUACCGUGGGUUCAAAUCCCACUCCCUCCG
This 88-nucleotide transfer RNA is filed under the name Bacillota bacterium. RNAcentral describes it as "tRNA-Ser". It matches the Rfam family "tRNA". Rfam says of the family: Transfer RNA (tRNA) molecules are approximately 80 nucleotides in length. Their secondary structure includes four short double-helical elements and three loops (D, anti-codon, and T loops). The record is from RNAcentral. Lineage: Bacteria; Bacillati; Bacillota.